UACGUAGGGUGCAAGCAUUAUCCGGAGUGACUGGGCGUAAAGAGUUGCGUAGGUGGACAAGUAAGCGAAUAGUGAAAUCUGAUGGCUCAACCAUACAGACUAUUAUUCGAACUGCUUGUCUCGAGAAUGGUAGAGGUAACUGGAAUUUCUUGUGUAGGAGUGAAAUCCGUAGAUAUAAGAAGGAACACCAAUGGCGUAGGCAGGUUACUGGACCAUUUCUGACACUGAGGCACGAAAGCGUGGGGAGCGAACAGG
RNAcentral lists this ribosomal RNA (255 nucleotides) under uncultured bacterium. RNAcentral's name for it is "partial 16S ribosomal RNA". It matches the Rfam family "Bacterial small subunit ribosomal RNA", at positions 524 to 776 of the family's 1533-position model. The record is from RNAcentral.